Molecule: ribosomal RNA, 324 nt
Filed under: uncultured eukaryote
Lineage: Eukaryota
Description: partial 18S ribosomal RNA
Rfam family: Eukaryotic small subunit ribosomal RNA
Source: RNAcentral
CCCUUAGAUGUUCUGAACCGCACGCGUGUUACACUGAUGCAUUCAACGAGCUUUACCUUGGCCGAGAGGCCUGGGAAAUCUUUUUAGCAUGCAUCGUGAUAGGGAUUGAUUAUUGCAAUUAUUAAUCAUGAACGAGGAAUUCCUAGUAAACGCAUUUCAUCAAAAUGCAUUGAUUACGUCCCUGCCCUUUGUACACACCGCCCGUCGCACCUACCGAUUGAGUGGUCCGGUGAAGUCUCGAGAUUGUGGCAAUCUCCUUUAUUGGAGUUUGACCGCGAGAACUUGUCUAAACCUUAUCAUCUAGAGGAAGGUGAAGUCGUAACA